This 253-nucleotide ribosomal RNA is filed under the name uncultured bacterium. Its description in RNAcentral is "partial 16S ribosomal RNA". It matches the Rfam family "Bacterial small subunit ribosomal RNA", at positions 524 to 776 of the family's 1533-position model. The record is from RNAcentral.
UACGUAGGGUGCAAGCGUUAAUCGGAAUUACUGGGCGUAAAGCGUGCGCAGGCGGUUAUGCAAGACAGAUGUUAAAUCCCCGGGCUUAACCUGGGAACUGCAUUUGUGACUGCAUCGCUGGAGUGCGGCAGAGGGGGAUGGAAUUCCGCGUGUAGCAGUGAAAUGCGUAGAUAUGCGGAGGAACACCGAUGGCGAAGGCAAUCCCCUGGGCCUGCACUGACGCUCAUGCACGAAAGCGUGGGGAGCAAACAGG